UACGGGGGGAGCAAGCGUUGUUCGGAUUUACUGGGCGUAAAGGGCGCGUAGGCGGCGUGGCAAGUCACUUGUGAAAUCUCCGGGCUUAACUCGGAGCGGUCAAGUGAUACUGUCGUGCUAGAGUGCGGAAGGGGCUACUGGAAUUCUCGGUGUAGCGGUGAAAUGCGUAGAUAUCGAGAGGAACACCUGCGGCGAAGGCGGGUUGCUGGGCUGAUACUGACGCUGAGGCGCGAAAGCCAGGGGAGCGAACGGG
This 253-nucleotide ribosomal RNA is filed under the name uncultured bacterium. RNAcentral describes it as "partial 16S ribosomal RNA". It matches the Rfam family "Bacterial small subunit ribosomal RNA", at positions 524 to 776 of the family's 1533-position model. The record is from RNAcentral.